This 497-nucleotide ribosomal RNA is filed under the name uncultured bacterium. RNAcentral describes it as "partial 16S ribosomal RNA". The stretch from base 51 to 497 matches the Rfam family "Bacterial small subunit ribosomal RNA", at positions 38 to 507 of the family's 1533-position model. The record is from RNAcentral.
GGGGGGGGGGGGGGGGGGGGGGGGGGGGGGGGGGGGGGGGGGGGGGAGGGGGGGGUGGGUCCUCGGGCGGUAGGGGGGGGCGGGUGAGUAGGACGUGGAUACCCGACCUAUGCGACUGGGAUAACUGCGGGAGACCGGAGCUAAUACGGGAGAAUCUAUGGACCCGCAUGGUUCAAUAGUGCAAGACGGGUUUGCUCGCCCUUCUGAGUGGACCCGCUCCGCAUUAGCUAUUUCGUAAGGUAACGGCUUACCAAGGCAACGAUGCGUAGCCGACCUGAGAGGGUGAUCGGCCACACGGGAACUGAGACACGGUCCAGACUCCUACGGGAGGCAGCAGUAGGGAAUCUUCCGCAAUGGGCGAAAGCCUGACGGAGCAACGCCGCGUGAGUGAUGAAGGUCUUCGGAUCGUAAAACUCUGUUAUUAGGGAAGAACAAAUGUGUAAGUAACUAUGCACGUCUUGACGGUACCUAAUCAGAAAGCCACGGCUAACUACGUG